AUGAAUAUGGAUUUGAACUUGAUGCCUCAAGAGGAAGAACAUGAAACCAUUGAUUUGAACUUGAUGCCUCAAGAGGAAGACGAUGAAGGUAUUAAUUUGAAUUGGAUCCCUGAAAAGGAGGAACCUCAAGUGGCAGAGAAUGUGGCUAUGGAUUUGAACUUGAUGCCUCAAGAGGAAGACGAUGAAGAUAUGAAUUGGAUGCCUCAAGAAGAUGAAGGGAAAGAGGAUGAAGCUCAAGAGGAAGAGGAUGAAGUUAUGAAUUGGAUACUUCAAGAGAAGAGAAGAGAAUUGUCAGAUAAGGAGAGGCAUGGUGUUUACUUUGCCUUGCUGGUAAUCGAGCUCAAAGAUGGGUCUGUUCAACCAGACGACAAGCUGCUAGUCUCAAACCUGUUGGAUAUAAGUGUACGAUCUGUUGAAAGAAUCUGGGAAGAGGUUAAAAAGCAAAUUGCCGAUGGCAAAGAAGUAGAUGUCUCAAGCAAGAAGCCAGGAAGAUCAGGCCGAAAGAGAAAGGAGCUGGAUCUAGAGAGGACCUCAACAAUCCCACUGAAUAAAAGAAGAACAAUUCGAUCUCUGGCACGGUCUCUAGGUGUGGCCCGAUCGACCCUACAUAAGAGGUUCCAGUUGAAUGAGCUCAACCGCAUCACAAGCACCGUGAAGCCUCACCUCAAGCUAGAGAACAAGCUUGCGAGAUUGAAAUUUUGUAUGUCCAUGGUCGAUGACAAUUCGAUCUCAACUUCUCGGGCUAUGUUAAAACCAAUGACGAAUAUGGUUCACAUCGAUGAGAAGUGGUUCGACAUGACGAGAGUGAAGAAUAGUUACUAUGUACUUCCAGGAGAACCUGAACCGAAGCGCACCGUGUCAAACACUCACAGCAUUGGGAAGGUAAUGUUCCUAACAACUGUUGCCAGGCCUCGAUAUAACAAUGAGGGGGAGCUAACAUUCGAUGGGAAGAUCGGCAUUUGGGCAUUCGUCGAAGAGACUGAGGCGAAGCGGACAAGUCAGAACAGAACAAAGGGAACAAAAGUGUUGACAUCAGUGAAAGUAACCAGGCCUGUGUGCAGAGAUUAUCUAAUCAAUAAGGUUAUCCCGGCAAUUCAGGAUAAGUGA
RNAcentral lists this ribosomal RNA (1107 nucleotides) under Triticum aestivum (bread wheat). Its description in RNAcentral is "partial small subunit ribosomal RNA". The record is from RNAcentral. Lineage: Eukaryota; Viridiplantae; Streptophyta; Magnoliopsida; Poales; Poaceae.